Non-coding RNA from Myotis brandtii (Brandt's bat), 75 nucleotides. Lineage: Eukaryota; Metazoa; Chordata; Mammalia; Chiroptera; Vespertilionidae. The record is from Rfam.
GGUGGUUCUCUGGUGAUGCACCCCGGAAUUGGGCUCCCUCCUUUCUGGUUCCGGAUGUGUCACCUAAGAACUGCA